This 24-nucleotide non-coding RNA is filed under the name Arabidopsis thaliana (thale cress). The record is from RNAcentral. Lineage: Eukaryota; Viridiplantae; Streptophyta; Magnoliopsida; Brassicales; Brassicaceae.
CUAAUGGUAAAUCUCCCAGGUGGA